This 272-nucleotide ribosomal RNA is filed under the name uncultured bacterium. RNAcentral describes it as "partial 16S ribosomal RNA". It matches the Rfam family "Bacterial small subunit ribosomal RNA", at positions 524 to 787 of the family's 1533-position model. The record is from RNAcentral.
UACAGGGGGUGCAAACGUUGCUCGGAAUCAUUGGGCGUAAAGCGCACGUAGGCGGUUCGUUAUGUCGGAUGUGAAAGCCCUUGGCUUAACCGAGGAAGUGCAUCCGAAAACUGGCGAGCUAGAGUACGAAAAGAGGGAUCGCGGAAUUCCCGGUGUAGAGGUGAAAAUUCGUAGAUAUCGGGAGGAACACCGGGUGGCGAAGGCGGCGAUCUGGGUCGAUACUGACGCUGAGGUGCGAAAGCUAGGGGGAGCAAACAGGGAUUAAGAAACCC